Molecule: non-coding RNA, 205 nt
Organism: Pelobates cultripes (western spadefoot toad)
Lineage: Eukaryota; Metazoa; Chordata; Amphibia; Anura; Pelobatidae
Source: the annotation of a GenBank genome assembly
CUGAGAUACAUAGAAGAUAGUGCAUAGUAUUAGGAGUAAAGUUACUGUUCUAGCUGCAGUGAAUAACUUAUCAAGUUGCGGAUUCCUGAAAAUAUUGGCAUUUUUCUCUCUUUUUCUUUCCAUAUUUCUUACGUGUUUCCAGAGGGAGUAGAGGAUGGAGAUUGUUGCAAUGAAAAAAAUGGCAAACGCUAUAAAGGAAAUUGCA